Molecule: transfer RNA, 88 nt
Filed under: Escherichia coli
Lineage: Bacteria; Pseudomonadati; Pseudomonadota; Gammaproteobacteria; Enterobacterales; Enterobacteriaceae
Also listed under: 3 other names
Description: tRNA-Ser
Rfam family: tRNA
About the family: Transfer RNA (tRNA) molecules are approximately 80 nucleotides in length. Their secondary structure includes four short double-helical elements and three loops (D, anti-codon, and T loops).
Source: RNAcentral
GGUGAGGUGUCCGAGUGGCUAAAGGAGCACGCCUGGAAAGUGUGUAUACGGCAACGUAUCGGGGGUUCGAAUCCCCCCCUCACCGCCA